GUGGGAGUGCGUAGGCAAUAGUAGGGGAGAGUUCUUUAUUUUUGUCUGAAGUUUCUUUUUCAUGGUGUUGAGUGAUGUUUAUGAUUUCGGAUAGAUAGUUUUUAGUAUUAUCUUGUGGCUAGCAGUGUUAGUUUAUUUUUGUAUUCUAUACUAGUUUAUAUGUAUUUAUAUUUUUUGUUUAUUAUACUGUUAUCGGUCCUAAGUCGGAG
RNAcentral lists this long non-coding RNA (209 nucleotides) under Capsicum annuum. Its description in RNAcentral is "long non-coding RNA (CANN_LNC018799)". The record is from RNAcentral. Lineage: Eukaryota; Viridiplantae; Streptophyta; Magnoliopsida; Solanales; Solanaceae.